Neomonachus schauinslandi (Hawaiian monk seal) is the source of this 73-nucleotide non-coding RNA. The record is from the annotation of a RefSeq genome assembly. Lineage: Eukaryota; Metazoa; Chordata; Mammalia; Carnivora; Phocidae.
ACCUGGUUGGCUCAGUCGGUAGAGCAUGGGAUUCCUGAUCUCAGGGUUGUAAGUUUGAGCCCUACACUGGGUG